GUAUAAGUUUUAAAGGCAAUUAAGCCCAUUAAUAACAUUCUUAGACAUACUUGGGGUAUAUAAAGACAUAGACCGGAAAUGUAAGGAAAGCCGGCCUAUUGAUGCACAGCAGUCCUCAAACCGAGUUUCCUCGAGAGGUAUCCAAGUCUACAAAAGGUGCACAGGUGGUAAAAGGUUGGCGUUAGGCGUGCACAUGCUCCGAAGAACCAGCAACAGCCCAACCAAGCUUAUUCAAUAAUGAUCCUUCCGCAGGUUCACCUACGGAAA
RNAcentral lists this unclassified non-coding RNA (267 nucleotides) under uncultured fungus. RNAcentral describes it as "sequence contains ITS1". The record is from RNAcentral. Lineage: Eukaryota; Fungi.